Molecule: ribosomal RNA, 507 nt
Filed under: uncultured bacterium
Lineage: Bacteria
Description: partial 16S ribosomal RNA
Rfam family: Bacterial small subunit ribosomal RNA
Source: RNAcentral
GACGAACGCUGGCGGCGUGCCUAAUACAUGCAAGUCGAACGCAUUUUCUUUCACCGUAGCUUGCUACACCGAAAGAAAAUGAGUGGCGAACGGGUGAGUAACACGUGGGUAACCUGCCCAUCAGCGGGGGAUAACACUUGGAAACAGGUGCUAAUACCGCAUAAUUCCAUUUACCGCAUGGUAGAUGGGUGAAAGGCGCUUUUGCGUCACUGAUGGAUGGACCCGCGGUGCAUUAGCUAGUUGGUGGGGUAACGGCCUACCAAGGCUGCGAUGCAUAGCCGACCUGAGAGGGUGAUCGGCCACACUGGGACUGAGACACGGCCCAGACUCCUACGGGAGGCAGCAGUAGGGAAUCUUCGGCAAUGGACGCAAGUCUGACCGAGCAACGCCGCGGGAGUGAAGAAGGUUUUCGGAUUGUAAAACUCUGUUGUUAGAGAAGAACAAGGAUGAGAGUGGAAAGUUCAUCCCUUGACGGUAUCUAACCAGAAAGCCACGGCUAACUACGUG